AUACAACUCUCACCAUCUGGAUCCAGAUCUAAACUCCCUUAAUGUGCCACAUAACAAUCACUUGAAAAAAGAAAAAAAAAACUAAGAUUGAUCCAACGACCACUAUGCGAUCUGAGAGUGCAAUCUCUUUUCCCUUCUCAAGUUCAAAAAACAGAAACUCAAGUUUCAACCAGGGAAUAAACUCAAUAAAAAAAUUAAAAUCACUUGAAAAUCGGGUUGUAAAUCAAUGCAAAGUGAAC
Molecule: long non-coding RNA, 239 nt
Filed under: Lathyrus oleraceus (garden pea)
Lineage: Eukaryota; Viridiplantae; Streptophyta; Magnoliopsida; Fabales; Fabaceae
Description: Pisum sativum (pea) long non-coding RNA (PSAT_LNC015265)
Source: RNAcentral